CAAUUCUACCUUGGGUGGGACGUCUGCUAGCACAGCUAUUUUAACAAUAAGAACAAGGCAUCGCCUGAGCAAUAUCUCCAUGAUCUUGAAGCGUGUACUUUCCUUGUUGAGCUGGAGCUUAGUCGUCCUUACCCAUAUCGUGGUACAGACUUGUCAAAAUGGGAGCCAAUUGCAGUACUGCCUUACCUACAGGGAGCUCUCACCUGCCUUAU
Pistacia vera is the source of this 212-nucleotide long non-coding RNA. RefSeq lists it as uncharacterized. NCBI's taxonomy places the organism in Eukaryota, Viridiplantae, Streptophyta, Magnoliopsida, Sapindales, Anacardiaceae. The transcript is spliced from 3 exons. The record is from RefSeq and is a predicted model, not a curated record.